This 490-nucleotide ribosomal RNA is filed under the name uncultured bacterium. Its description in RNAcentral is "partial 16S ribosomal RNA". It matches the Rfam family "Bacterial small subunit ribosomal RNA", at positions 29 to 507 of the family's 1533-position model. The record is from RNAcentral.
AGUGAACGCUGGCGGUAGGCCUAACACAUGCAAGUCGAACGGCAGCACAGGAGAGCUUGCUCUCUGGGUGGCGAGUGGCGGACGGGUGAGGAAUACAUCGGAAUCUGCCCAGUCGUGGGGGAUAACGUAGGGAAACUUACGCUAAUACCGCAUACGACCUUCGGGUGAAAGAGGGGGAUCGCAAGACCUCUCGCGAUUGGAUGAGCCGAUGUCGGAUUAGCUAGUUGGCGGGGUAAUGGCCCACCAAGGCGACGAUCCGUAGCUGGUCUGAGAGGAUGAUCAGCCACACUGGAACUGAGACACGGUCCAGACUCCUACGGGAGGCAGCAGUGGGGAAUAUUGGACAAUGGGCGCAAGCCUGAUCCAGCCAUACCGCGUGGGUGAAGAAGGCCUUCGGGUUGUAAAGCCCUUUUGUUGGGAAAGAAAUCUGUCAGGCUAAUAUCCUGGGAGGAUGACGGUACCCAAAGAAUAAGCACCGGCUAACUUCGUG